GUAGAGAUGGUACUUGAACCCAUUCUCUUUAAAUUUCCUCGCUCUUUUACAGGGCGUCUUUCCCGCUUCUUGAGAUCAGCCGUCAGCAAACCAUGCUCCCUAGGCACUGCCUGUUUCUGCAAAUAAAGUUUUAUUAAAACACAGCCACACACAUUAUUUACCCAUGUCUAUGACUGCAUUUAGUCUACGAAGGCAGAGGUGAGCGGUUGACACAGAGCCUGGAGGGUCUGCAAAGCUGAAAAUAUCUACGUCUCCCUUUUUAUGGCUACAGGAGUAGCCAGCCCUCCUCUAUUUGAUGAGCUUCUGUUCUUCUUCAGCCUCAGAAAAAGAGAAACCAGGAAUUUUCUUCCGUCCAAAUCGAGGUUCUCCAUCAACUGCUGCCUAUAGUGGAGCCUGUGCUCCCUUUGCCCUGAGUCUGGGAGAACCUUACUCAUUCACUAAGCUCCGGUGCAGCACUUGCUGGAGGACAAAUUCACAUUAUCUGAUUGGCCUGUGUUCCUCUUGCUGUUUCACCUACCGACACGUUAAAAGGAAUUCUAUCAUUUCCUCAACGGAUUAUUCCUGUCGAGAACCACAACAAGGAAGCUUCCUCUUGAGAUUUCAGCCUGGAAUCCUCAUUGUUCAAAGAUAUGCCAUUACCUUUUAAAUCAUCCCCCGAGAAGUUCCUCUUCUAGCCUUUUAUUUAUGGAAUUUCAAUGCUUGGAAAUGGUGAUCACCUCCUCCCAGGGUUUUCUGCCACAUGGCUUUCAUACUUGAGCUCUUUUCAUCUUUUCCCGCAUGCAUUUCCCUCGAGCAAUGAUCAGGCUGAGAAAGUGAUUUCAUUUACAUUGCAAAGGAGACAGAAAAACAAACAGAAAACCCAGAGGCCACGACUUCCCGGGAGUGCUCCAGAGUGUGUGUAUUGCUAGUAGAAGCUAUGUGCACCUCCACACCCCGGAACUAUUUUUGAAGCUUUGAUGUAGAAACGCACAAUACCUACAGCGACCUUAAAUUUCUGUAAAACAAAUAUAGCAUGCAUUGAUGCAAUUGCCAUAUAUUUAUAGAAUUCAACAAUUGCCUUCCACCAACUUUAUCAAAUAUCUGCUGCAUGGGGGCGGUGCUAGGACAGAAACAUAAACAGCUCUGAUUGGUCCAUUAUGCAGACGAAGCACAUGCUUCAAGGACCAGAAAAGCAGAGAGAACACCGUGCUCCUGCCUUACUGGCCAAAUGAUGCAACAAGAAAAUUCAGGAAAGUUAAUUUAAGUUUCAACAUACAGAUUUUUUUGUCCCUUGGAAGACACAGUUUUAAGUUUUAGUUGAGUUUUGUUUUCAUUUUUAUUUGGGUACAGGUCUUGGGAUAGUUCGGAUUUGUGUUCAGAAAAUUUUUACUCCUCCACACUUUGGAGGAAUACCCUUCCCUGACUUAGGGAUGUUGGACUUGGCCAUGUGACUAUUGGCCAGUAAGAUGUUAGCAAGCAUGAUGCCAUCAAGGUCACUGUGGAUUUGCACAGUGGGCCUGGCUCUCCUGCACUUCCAACAUUGCCUUGAGAUGCAUACACAUGCCUGCGUCCAAGGAAGAUGGAAGACACCUGGAGCAAACUUGGACUCAGCCCAUAACUUGAAGCCCAGCCCGGACCACCCCAGGUCAUCUAAACCCCAGCUAAUUUGCAAAUGUUUAUGUGAGAAUAAAUAAUUACCAUUUUAAGCCAC
This 1690-nucleotide long non-coding RNA is filed under the name Homo sapiens (human). RNAcentral describes it as "HSALNT0269100". The record is from RNAcentral. Lineage: Eukaryota; Metazoa; Chordata; Mammalia; Primates; Hominidae.